RNAcentral lists this ribosomal RNA (253 nucleotides) under uncultured bacterium. RNAcentral describes it as "partial 16S ribosomal RNA". It matches the Rfam family "Bacterial small subunit ribosomal RNA", at positions 524 to 776 of the family's 1533-position model. The record is from RNAcentral.
UACGUAGGCAGCGAGCGUUGUUCGGAAUUACUGGGCGUAAAGCGUGCGUAGGUGGUGAGUUAAGUCUGUCGUGAAAGCCCCGGGCUCAACCUGGGAAUGGCGAUGGAUACUGGCUCGCUAGAGUGCGGUAGAGGAGAGUGGAAUUCCCGGUGUAGCAGUGAAAUGCGUAGAGAUCGGGAGGAACAUCAGUUGCGAAGGCGGCUCUCUGGACCAGCACUGACACUGAGGCACGAAAGCGUGGGGAGCAAACAGG